Molecule: non-coding RNA, 1764 nt
Organism: Meleagris gallopavo (turkey)
Lineage: Eukaryota; Metazoa; Chordata; Aves; Galliformes; Phasianidae
Source: RefSeq, a predicted model, not a curated record
ACUACAUUCCUAUAUUCUUCCCAAGUGAUCAGACCCUUUUUCCACAAAUCAGAAGCCUUGGCUAAAAUGCUGUUAGCGUGCACAGCAACAUUUACUGCAGAUGAAUUAUCUGGAUUUGAUAUUUUCCUACCAUGCUAAAACUGUAAUACAUAGGGUUUCUUUAAAAAUAAUUCUGAUUCAGUAAAGCAAAGUUGCUGUGCAGGUGAAAGGAAAUAUAGUGUAUUAGCACCUCUGAAGCAAACAGUUUUGAAUUUGAUUUUGGGGGUAAGUUCACUUCAUGGACUCAAAACUGAAAAGAAGCUAAAGAUUUAUAGUAGUCUAUUGGAUCCAGGUUUUCUUAGGGAUUUUUUACUGUGUCUUCCCAAAUUUAAAUAAAAAGAAAGAAAAAAGCAUAUUUUCAUUCCAAAAAGUACAGUACCAUUGUCAGCUCUGAAUACUGUUGUCACUGCUGCCAACAAGCCACAGGAUUUGCAGAGCUCGCUGCAGGACCAAGGCCAGGCAGGCUCAUGCUGCAUGGGCUCCUCUUGACCUGCCUGCAGCUUUGUCUUUGUUUUCCCCAGUGCAGCUGUGACAACUGUUUCUCUGAUCAGCCAGGUUUCUGAGGCUGAUUGGUAUUGCUUUUGUGGUACAACUCUAGAAACACACAGUUAUUCUAGGCUGCAAUGCUGUGUGGGUAGGAUGGGAGGGGACAGGGCACAGGCUGGAACUGGAGAACCUACAGCCAUCAUGGACUCACCUGGAGCCAGGUGAAGAAAAACAGAUGUGGAGCUGGACAAGAGUGGUAUUAGGGGUAGCAAGAAACAAGGAAAUAGUAAAAGAUGCCAUAUAGUAAAUUUAGAAGUAACAUAGAGCUGAAAACCGGAAAGGCACACAAAUGAUCUGAAGUGAAUCCUAGAACAAAGACCGAAAAAGCACCAACAAAAGUAUCAUAUUCCUUGUAGGAGAAUUCUGCAUGCUGACUCCUCCCUUCCUCCCACAAAUGAUGCCACUCCUCUAAAGGCCCAGAGGAGCAGUGGACAGAGCUAUGAAGAGCUAUGAACAGUUCCAUGCUAGCAUGCAAAUCUCAAGAGUUGUGGGAAAAGAUGAAGAGGCAGGGCAGGACUGAAGAGCUGUAGGAAAAUAGGAAGAGAAAGGACUGAAUGGUAAAGAACAGGUAGACAAAGGGCAGGCAUGGAGACGUAAGUACAAAACGAUUUGUGUAUGGCCAUGGAGGGUGUCACUGAUGCAAGCAGAAUGAAAGUGCAGGUAAUGAACAACUUCUUGAAUUUAUCUAGGUAGGUUCUCUGUAUUUAGCUCUUCUCUUUGUCGUAGCAUUGCCAGUAACAGCUUACAUUUUCCAUCCACAUAAUGUAAAACCUGAAAUAUUGGCCAAUUACACUUAGAAAAACAGUUAGUUUCAAACUUUUCUUUUUUUAGCUUGGAGCUUUCUUCUGAGACUCUACAAGACUGCAAACAGCUUUUCCUUGAGCAAUUUAAAUCUAAAUACAUAUUUAGUGAACAUCAUUUACCUCCAAUAACAUUCUUGCUGUCUCAUAAAUCUGUCAUUAUUGAAUUUAUCAAGAGAUUUCUCCAUUUCUGUAAAAGGCAUUUAAUUGUAAUUGUUAAGAAUUCCCCAUGGCUUUAUAUCAAGUUAUUGCUGACUUCUUCCAUUGUACCAACUGUAAUUUAAAAAAAAAUGUUUCUAAUUUUUCAUUUAACUCUUACGAAGCAAUAUAAUUAAACAGUUUGAAAGAAAAAUGUUAGACAUUUAAACCAUUUCCUAUA